Molecule: unclassified non-coding RNA, 1723 nt
Filed under: Nilaparvata lugens (brown planthopper)
Lineage: Eukaryota; Metazoa; Arthropoda; Insecta; Hemiptera; Delphacidae
Description: uncharacterized LOC111047711, transcript variant X2
Source: RNAcentral
AAAGUAUAGAAUGUUUUUUAUAAAAAUCUUAGCUAAAUUCAAGUAGCUAAAAUAUUAUUUGAAUCAAGUUUAAGUAUCACUUAGUUACCCAUAGUAUAGUUAUACAACAUAGAUUUAUUUUGGAAAUGUGUUUAUAAUUUUCACAAUUGAUGUGAAUUUUAAUAGCUUGCUAUUAAUAGCUUGAAUUUAAUUGGUUCAUUUCUUCUUUUGUUUGAUUAAGCUUGAAGAUUCAAUCAAGAAGCUUCAAUCAUGUGGUUUGAAGAAACUAAACCGAUAAAUUCAGCAAGCAACCCAGCACUAAGUAAAACAAAAUCAUAUUUCCAUUCGACAUCAAGACACCAAUUGGGGAACGUUUCAGAUACCAACGUUGAAUAUGGAAUGGCAAUGAUGCAAUACCAUAUCUAAUGCAGAGUAAUGUUCCUUGUUUCAUAAUACUAGUUUCAUUACACUUCUCAAUACUUAUUAUAAUUUCUAAUGAGAUUAGUGGAUGGAGAGAUGAGAAAUUUUCAAUCACUGAUUAAUAUGAACUUGUUUUCUUUUCUAAUGUGAUAAUUACAGAGUAAUUGCGAGAUCAGGAUUUUCGAAACUGGUGCUCCAAUCACUUUUCUCAACUGGUUUUGCAUGCCGGAAAAAAUGAAUUUGAAUUUACUACGUUUAAUGAGUGUACUGCGAUUUGCUCCGGGCUGACUGGGAUCGCGGUAAUUUUUCUCCAGCUGGGAGAAACUACCUGUUAUCAAAAGAAAUGGAAAGUGACUACUUUGAAAAGGCGAGAAGAGUGACAAGGAAGAAAGCCGACUUGCCAGGGACUUGUCUAUUGCCCAUCACUUCCGAGCAGACUCAUUUUAAUGCCAGUCUUUCUGCAAUCACCCAACUGCACAGAAUGAGAUCGUUUUUAUUGUUUCCAGCAUUUUACUUGGUUGUGUUGACCGGUAGAGCAGAGGCAGGCGAAGGAAUUACAGCGUUCAGUUUCUUGCUAGGACAAGCCACCGACGACACAGUCCACCAGAUCCAUUUUCGGCCUGAGGACAGCGCCAAGUUCAGGAAGAAGUUCGAGGCCAAGCAUGGACCCAGAGGCAGUCUGCUUAUAGAAAAACUCGGCAGAGGCUACUCUGAGGAAGUUCCUUCUAUCCUGGAGGAUGAUCAUGCCAUUACCAAGCCACCAGUGAAGAAGGUGAAAAAUGUGAAGGCCAGAGGGAAGAAGAAUAUUGCAUUGACUACCACUGUAGGCACACCCACAACGAUCGCUCCAACCACCAUUGACUACUCAACGUUGGAGACGACUUACUCGACAGGCACUCCUUACGGCACCACUGAUUACUACCCUACCACUACAGACAUCUUCCAAUCAACAGUCCUACUGUAAAUGGGGGAGUGAAGACGCGAAUAUUGUGCCAUCGGAGUAGACUUGAAGCAAAGCAAGUUGCGACAACAUCAGCCAACAGCCAACAGUGUUGUAAUGAAUUGAUUAGGUAGGCUGCUGAGAGAUGAGGAUGCGAAUAAGUGACGUGCUUUUGAGAACAUCCUUGCAUCCUCGAAAUCCUUGCUUUGCAAACACGGAAGAAAAUGGGAGUCUCCUUUUCAACAGCAAGUUUCAGGAUCCUUGGAACUGUUUCGAUGGUUGUCAAUUGUUGGCUAUUUCCUAUCUGGGGAUUUGAAGAUAAGUGGCAGACUACAGUACAGUAGCGUAGUAAUGCAAUUGACGCGGCUAUGAAAGUGGAACAGC